Molecule: ribosomal RNA, 328 nt
Filed under: Pristurus rupestris rupestris
Lineage: Eukaryota; Metazoa; Chordata; Lepidosauria; Squamata; Sphaerodactylidae
Description: partial 12S ribosomal RNA
Rfam family: Bacterial small subunit ribosomal RNA
Source: RNAcentral
ACUACAAGUGAUAAACUUUAAACUCUAAGGACCUGGCGGUGUCCCACCCGUACUAGAGGAGCCUGUCCUAUAAUCGACACUACACGCUAUACCUCACCCCCCCUUGCCACCUCAACUUGUAUACCGCCGUCACCAGCUCACAAUGUGAAUGCACUGCCGUGAGCAAAACCAUUAACCAUUAAAACGACAGGUCAAGGCGUAGUUCAUGGGGGGGAAAGCGAUGGGCUACAUUUCCUUCACUAGAACACACCACCCGCACCGUGAAAUCUAUGCCCACAGGCGGAUUUAGAAGUAAGCUUGGCAAGACGUGCCAACCUGAAAUACGCCC